GGUGCGGUGACAGCAGGAGCGCGGCGCGGGGCCGAGUGGCAAGGGGAGUUUCCCGUGCUCGCCAAGUGGAGCCCAGCUCGGAGCUGCGCCAGCGCCUUCCGCCUGGGCCCGCGGUGCCAGACACCUGCCGAGUCCGAAGCGGGAGUCCGGCCGAGCGUUCCGCCCCCAAGGCCUCAUCUGUGGCACAUGGAAGUUCUGGAGCUGCAGCUGCAGGCCUGCGUCACAGCCAUAGGAACAGUGGAUCCAAGCUGUGUCUGUGACCUACACCAUAACUUGCGGCUGUAUCUGAUCCUUAAGCCACUGAGUAAGGCCAGGGAUCAAAGCAUAUCCUUACAGAGACAACAUCAGGUCCUUAGCACUCUGAGCCACAAUGGGAACUGCUAAACUGAUAUGAUCUUUACUUCACUCUGCCCUAUAUUCCAUUCCGUUGUUUCACCAGUAUCUAAUCUAUAACUCUUUAAGUAGUUUUCUCUCUACACCUUCCACCAUCACACAGUUGAAAUAAUUUUAGAAAAAUAUUUUUACCAUUAUCACUUUUGGAUAAUAUCUAAACACUGUGAUGGGCUCCUUUCUGUGUUUGACUGUAUCUGUCCAAGCUAAAUCUGUCUUCAGCUCUAUACUCUGUCUUCUCAAGUCAAAACAAAGUAUGCUAUAGUAAGCAAAAUUUUGACCUUCAGUCAAGUUACCAUCCUCUCCCUGUUGAUAUCUUUGUAAAAGAAAUCUUGCGUGAAUGUGUAUAUCCACAGAAUUUCUACUCUUUAUUUCUCAGGAAGUCUCUUUACUGGAGGUAGGAAGAACACAUUAAAAUGGAUAAGUAAUUCAUGUUAUUUUUAGGAAACAGAAAACCAAAUAAAUGUUUAAUAGGAAGGUACACUGUUUCACGCCUUGGAACACUGAAUAUUGAGCAUUGAUUGAAAGGCCACUGUUGACAUUGAUUGAAAGGCUACUGUGUUCAGGGAACUAUGAAAAUAAAGGAGUGUACAAAAGAUGUGAUACCUUCAUUUUGAGAGGUUUACAGUGGGAUGCAGGAAAAAAACAUAAAAGUGAACAGCAGCAUAUUUGGUUGAUACCUAUUGGCUAUAUAAAAUUGCUUUUGGAUAUGUUUCAUGAUUCCUCAUAAAACAAAGACUUAAUAAGUUUACUUGGCAGCUGAUGGGCAAAGUUAAAAAAAAAAUCAAAUAAGCUUUUUGUUUUCUUUUAAGCAGUUCCUGGCAAUGCUUUCUUUUUUAUUUUAAGCAGAUGAGUUUUUAAAACAAUGAUUGCAUUUAAGACUUUCAAGAAAGCUUGUAAACCACAGAUUAGAUGAGCUGGGUCCUGAGAUCUGAACUGCGAGCUAGCUUGAUGCACACAAUGCAGGGCUCAAAGGUCUGAAAUUUCCAUGCACACAGACAACACAAUAAGGGUCCACAGCAGCCAUGCACCCUCUGAGUCCUGAGCCACAGACUACUUUGUAGCUCCUUGAGAUUGGCCUGUUAAGCUAAGGGCCUGGGUCCUGUGUACAGGGUGAGCAAUGAAGGGUGACCAGACUUAGCUGGAGGAAAUAUUUAUCAUUAGUUGUGAAGCUUUUUCAUUGAAGCCCCAUUUCCUGAGUGCAUGGGUAUACCAAUUUAAAUAUUCGCUAUUCAUUUCAUGUUGCUUGGCCCAUCUUUGUUUCCUUAGCACCACGACUCGUUUGCCUGGCCUCAUAGUCUGUCUCCCAAGAGUGCUCUUGAUGAGAUAUUUUUUUUUUAUCAGGAAAUUGAUUUUCUUGCAUCUCUUUCGGAGGUUGCUGAAUCCAAUCUUGGAGGAGAAUAAUUCAAUUCUUGGAAAAAUGUCUAAUAUGGGAGCCUAGUGUUUGAUUUUUUCUUUCCCCCCUGGCCACAGCAUCAAAGCUGUGUGAGCAUGCCAGGAGCCAAGGCAGAAUAGGUGCUUGCUGGCCCACCAGCUCCAUCCUUACCUUACCAGCCAGCCUCCGCCAGCAGUGCUCUUCUCACAGUGGGCUCUGAGCACCCUCUUUCCGCCCUGGAAGCAUCUUGCUCUAAUGCAGUUUUUCACUCUUGCUAGUUCUAAAUCUUAGCUAAAUUUUCUGUCUUACCCCUUAUACAUCCUGGAAAUUCCUCACUGUGCAGUCUGCUCUCACAAUGGUACAUUUUUUCCCUUCGGGUCAGAAUGGCCUAAGUUCACGAUUCUUACCUAGCAAUGAAAAGUGGUUUCGUGGCCUAAGAUCUGGGUUAAUAAAAGUUGGACUUCUGGGUCCAAGACAGGCACAGUUGGUUGCGCUCUGUAUCUUUCCAAAAGAGAUGCACUAAGCAGUUUUAUGUGUGUAAGGGUCUUUGCCAUACCUUUGAGAGGGGUGCUUAGUUUAUUUAUAUCUUACCUUGAUGUUUUAUUAAUGACUGAUAGUUGUUUAGUCUACAGUGUCAAUUGGGAAUUGGAAAUCAGUCUGUGUCUGAGGCUAGUUUGCUUAAGUCAAAGUCAGAACUGAUCCAGUGCGGCACAUGGAUACAGUUAUUAUAAACAAUUAUGGUAAGAAUGCCCAAUUUUCUGUAAUUAAAAUGCCCAGUGAAUUCAAUUCAUUGGAUUUCGCCUUGUGACCAUUGUGCUGUUUCUUUCUAUGUAAAGAAGUGUAUUCAAUUAAGUCUUGCAUAAUGUGCACUUUGUCAGUCCAAAAAAAAUUUACUUUCCAGUUGCUUGUGGUGUCGUUGGUAUUUAUUCUGCAACGUCAGCAGCGCUUAUGGGCCAAAUGCAGAGUGAGGACUGCAGUUGAAGCAACGUUUUUUUGUUGUUGUUGUUCACAUUCCAACAUUCUUAAGAUCCGCCUGAAAGGAAAUGUUGGAACAGUGUUCUGAAAGUACUUUUGAGAGCCAUGUAUUCCUGGAGAGCUUAAGAACCUAAUAGUUCGGUGGCGGGGGGUGGUGGUGAAGCUAUGAGCAUUUCUCUCCCUCUCCUACUUUAAGUCUUGUCUCAAAACUGAAAAAGAAAAUUACAGAAAGAGUUGCUGUGUUGUUGCAGUGUCUAGCUUCUUCUUGAGGUAGGAAGGGAACAUCUCUCGUAAAUAAUGAGAUGGUUCUGUCUUGCACGGGGAAAAAACAAAACAAAACAACAACCAUCCAAUGUACUAUUUUGGCAAAAUGCCUCUGAGUCUCUUCCUGUGGAAUUUUUACUUCUGUACUUUGCAGAGACUUCAUUUUUUCCUUUCUUCUUACUGAAAGCUGAGGAAUAAGGUGGAAUGGGUGUACUGCUAAAAAUUUUAUUCUUUUCUUCUCAGCUAUGGCCAACCAGUUGACAAACACAGAGAUGGGAAGCAGAAAUCUCAGUAUUUGAGGAUAUUUACGUGUCUUAGUCUCUGCCCAGAGUGGAACAAAAUCUGAAACACUAAAUUCUCUUGUGCAACAUUUCCUUUGUCUCUGCUGCCUUCCUUUUGAAAGGAAUCAUUAAGACACUUUUAGCUUUAGCCUAGCCCUGGGCUGUUACUAGAGCUUGGGGAGCCAAGAGGAGCAGAAAGACAGCAGGGCUGGAAGGAGGGGACAUGGGGCCUGGGCUUGGGCUGGCAGUCACUCAGGCUUUGCCGGAAAGGCCUGUAUGCUCUGCAGCAGAUGUGCCCCCUAUAGAAGGAAAACAAAUAAGUGUAAUCUUUUAUAAGUAUGUUCUUAAAAAUUCUUUGUUACAUUUUUGCAUGUAUGAAAGUACCAAGUUGAGAACAUGUUUGAGAAAUCAUAGGUUAGAUAAAUAUAAAUUAUUUACCUUGUUUUUCUAAUUUCAGGAGGAGCCAGGAUUCCACAGUUUGAAGAAGACUUGCUCUUUCCUUUCCUGUGCUUCUCCUCUCUCUGAAUUGGCAGCUGAGUUGGCAAAAACAGUUUGGUCUUUUGCAAGGCCUAAUUUCACUAUGGAUCUACAGACCCAAACCCCCAAGAGAAUUAUUGGUAGAUCUUUGGGAGAGUAAGAAAGACCUACAAAUUGAAAGAACACACGUUGCACAGAUGAGAAGAGCUGCUAUAGCAGAGAGAUGGAGAUCUUUAAACACUGACUUAGCGAUUGUAUUCAAAAGCAGCUACUGGAGUUCCUGUCAUGGCUCAGUGGUUAACGAAUCUGAUUGGGAACCAUGAAGUUGCGGGUUCGAGUCCUGGCCUCACUCAGUGGGUUAAGGAUCUGGUGUUGCCGUGACCUGUGGUGUAGGUCGCAGACACGGCUUGGAUCCUGUGUUGCUGGGGCUCUGGCGUAGGCUGGCAGCUAUAGUUCCGAGUACACCCCUAGCCUGGGAACCUCCAUAUGCUGCAGCUACAGCCCUAGAAAAAAAAAAAAAAAAAAAAAAA
This 4292-nucleotide long non-coding RNA is filed under the name Sus scrofa (pig). RNAcentral's name for it is "lncRNA (ENSSSCG00030012669.1)". The record is from RNAcentral. Lineage: Eukaryota; Metazoa; Chordata; Mammalia; Artiodactyla; Suidae.